RNA transcript from Lates calcarifer (barramundi perch), 5527 nucleotides. It is a transcript of the gene named NADH-ubiquinone oxidoreductase chain 2-like, with no coding region annotated. Lineage: Eukaryota; Metazoa; Chordata; Actinopteri; Centropomidae. The transcript has a single exon. The record is from RefSeq and is a predicted model, not a curated record.
AUGAAGGUUAGAAUCCCUCCUACACUAAUGAACCCAUAUGUCCUAAUUACCCUCUUAUUUGGACUAGGCCUAGGAACCACCAUUACAUUUACAAGUUCACACUGACUACUCUCGCCUGAAUAGGACUAGAAAUUAAUACUCUAGCCAUUAUUCCCCUGAUAACCCAACACCACCACCCCCGAGCCGUUGAAGCAACAACCAAAUACUUCCUCACUCAGGCCACCGCCGCAGCCAUACUUCUUUUUGCAAGCACUACCAAUGCUUGACUCACCGGACAAUGAGAAAUCCAACAAAUAACACAUCCCUUCCCAACAACCAUAAUCAUUCUCGCCCUAGCACUAAAAGUAGGCCUAGCCCCAUACACUCCUGACUCCCCGAAGUAUUACAAGGACUUAGCCUCACUACCGGGCUUAUCCUAUCCACUUGACAAAAAUUAGCCCCAUUUGCCCUCCUCCUGCAAAUCCAACCCGCCGAUCCCUUCAUCCUCAUUACAUUGGGCCUGACCUCAACUCUAGUCGGCGGCUGAGGAGGACUUAACCAAACACAACUACGAAAAAUCCUUGCUUACUCUUCAAUCGCUCACCUGGGCUGAAUGAUACUCAUCCUCCAAUUCUCCCCGACCAUCACACUUCUUACCCUAAUUACAUAUCUCCUGGCCCCCUCCUUUCUAUUAAUUGCCACACUAGCCAUCUCAUGAACUAAGACCCCCGCCCUAACAUCCCUCACCCCCUAAUUCUCCUCUCACUCGGAGGCCUCCCCCCACUAACCGGAUUUAUGCCCAAAUGACUUAUCCUUCAAGAACUUACCAAACAAGACCUAUCAACACUAGCGACACUAACCGCACUCACUGCCCUCCUCAGCCUAUUCUUUUCUACGCCUAUCUUAUGCAAUAGCCCUUACCCUGUCCCCAAAUAAUGCCACCGGAACCACUCCCUGACGACUCUCAUCCACCCCAAUCUAACCUGCCACUAGCCCUCUCAACUACCACCUCAAUCCUUCUCCUCCCCUCGCCCCCGCCGCAAUAGCCCUUUUCACCCCCUAAGGUGACUUAGGUUAAUAUCCAGACCAAGGGCCUUCAAAGCCCUAAGCGGAAGUGAAAAUCCUCCAGUCCCCGAUAGAGCCUGCGAGACACUAACUCACAUCUUCUGCAUGCAAAACAGACGCUUUAAUUAAGCUAAAGCCCUCCUAGAUAGGCAGGCUUGAUCCUACAAACUCUUAGUUAACAGCUAAGCGCUCAAGCCAGCGAGCAUCCAUCUAACUUUCCCCCGCCUAAACAACUAAAGGCGGGGGAAAGCCCCGGCAGACGCUAAUCUGCUUCUCUAGGUUUGCAACCUAGCAUGAUUAUACACCUCGGAACUUGGUAAGAAGAGGAAUUGAACCUCUGUCUACGGGGCUACAACCCACCGCUUAAAACUCAGCCAUCCUACCUGUGGCAAUCACACGUUGAUUUUUCUCUACCAAUCAUAAAGACAUCGGCACCCUUUAUCUAGUAUUUGGUGCUUGAGCCGGAAUAGUGGGCACCGCUCUUAGCUUGCUCAUCCGAGCAGAACUUAGUCAGCCCGGCUCACUCCUGGGGAUGACCAAAUCUAUAACGUAAUCGUCACCGCCCACGCUUUCGUGAUAAUUUUCUUUAUAGUAAUGCCAAUCAUGAUCGGAGGCUUCGGAAACUGACUAGUCCCCUUAAUAAUUGGAGCACCAGACAUGGCAUUUCCCCGAAUGAACAAUAUAAGCUUCUGACUUCUCCCCCCUUCUUUCCUCCUUCUCCUGGCUUCUUCUGGGGUAGAGGCUGGAGCUGGGACCGGUUGGACUGUAUACCCUCCCCUUGCUAGCAACCUCGCUCACGCUGGAGCAUCCGUCGAUCUGACCAUCUUUUCUCUCCACUUAGCGGGUGUCUCCUCAAUUCUUGGAGCCAUUAACUUUAUCACGACCAUUAUUAACAUAAAACCCGCUACCGUCUCCAUAUAUCAAAUCCCCCUAUUCGUCUGAGCAGUCUUGAUUACAGCCGUUCUUCUUCUACUCUCCCUCCCAGUCCUAGCCGCCGGUAUCACCAUGCUUCUUACAGAUCGUAACCUAAACACAGCAUUCUUCGAUCCUGCCGGAGGGGGAGACCCGAUUCUCUAUCAACAUCUGUUCUGGUUCUUCGGCCACCCGGAGGUGUACAUUCUUAUCCUCCCCGGCUUUGGAAUAAUUUCACAUGUCGUAGCCUACUACUGUGGGAAAAAAGAACCCUUCGGAUACAUGGGCAUAGUCUGAGCUAUAAUAGCUAUUGGCCUCUUAGGAUUUAUCGUAUGGGCCCACCAUAUGUUCACCGUAGGGAUGGACGUUGACACACGCGCCUACUUUACAUCCGCAACUAUGAUUAUUGCCAUCCCAACUGGCGUAAAAGUCUUCAGCUGACUUGCAACAAUCCACGGCGGAAACAUUAAAUGAGACACCCCAAUGCUCUGAGCUCUCGGAUUCAUCUUCCUAUUCACAGUCGGAGGCCUGACUGGUAUUAUCCUGGCCAACUCUUCCCUAGACAUCGUUCUCCACGACACAUACUACGUAGUUGCCCACUUCCACUACGUCCUGUCUAUGGGGGCCGUAUUCGCAAUUGUUGCCGGCUUUGUCCACUGAUUCCCUCUAUUUACAGGUUACACCCUGCACAGCACAUGAACAAAAAUCCACUUCGGAAUCAUAUUCGCAGGGGUAAACUUAACUUUCUUCCCUCAGCACUUCCUAGGACUAGCCGGAAUGCCUCGACGAUACUCAGACUACCCGGAUGCCUACGCCCUAUGAAACACUAUGUCCUCCAUUGGGUCUCUAGUAUCCCUUGUAGCCGUUAUUUUAUUCUUGUUCAUUAUCUGAGAAGCAUUCACUGCCAAACGUGGAGUCUUAGCAGUAGAAUUCACCGCCACAAACAUAGAAUGACUUCACGGCUGUCCUCCCCCCUAUCACACAUUCGAACAACCUGCCUUUGUCCAAGCUCGAAAUAACUAACGAGAAAGGGAGGAAUUGAACCCCCAUAGAUUGGUUUCAAGCCAACCACAUAACCGCUCUGUCACUUCCUUAUAAGACACUAGUAAAACCAUUACGCUGCCUUGUCAAGGCAAAAUUGCAGGUUAGAUUCCUGCGUGUCUUAGACAAACAAUGGCACAUCCUUCACAGCUAGGUUUUCAAGAUGCAGCUUCACCAUUAAUAGAAGAACUCCUCCACUUCCAUGAUCACGCCCUAAUAAUCGUUUUCCUGAUUAGCGCUUUCGUCCUAUACAUUAUUGUAGCCAUAAUCACCUCUAAGCUAACGGACAAACUUAUUCUAGACUCCCAGGAAAUUGAGGUCAUCUGAACCGUCCUCCCGGCAAUUGUGCUGAUUAUGAUUGCCCUCCCAUCCCUCCGAAUCCUUUACCUAAUAGAUGAAAUCAAUGAUCCACAUCUUACAAUUAAAGCAAUGGGCACCAAUGAUACUGAAGCUACGAAUAUACAGACUAUGACGAUCUCGGCUUUGACUCCUACAUGGUCCCAACACAAGAUCUUACUCCCGGCCAGUUUCGGCUCCUAGAGGCAGAUCACCGAAUGGUAAUCCCCGUAGAAUCCCCAAUCCGAGUCCUCAUCUCCGCAGAAGACGUACUUCAUUCUUGAGCCGUACCAUCCCUGGGCGUAAAAGUAGAUGCAAUUCCUGGCCGGCUCAACCAAACAACCUUUAUUGUUAACCGACCAGGCAUCCUCUACGGACAAUGCUCUGAAAUCUGCGGGGCUAACCACAGCUUCAUACCCAUUGUGAUCGAAGCAGUUCCCCUGCCACACUUCGAAAACUGAACAUCGCUAAUAAUGGCAGAAUACACCUCGCUAAGAAGCUAAGUCAGGCAAGCAGCGUUAGCCUUUUAAGCUAAAGAUUGGUGGCGCCUAAUCACCCUUAGCGAAUAUGCCUCAACUAAACCCCGCCCCAUGGCUCGCCAUCCUAACCUUUUCCUGGCUCAUCUUCCUAACAGUAAUUCCUCCUAAAAUUCUAGCCCACUCUUUCCCUAAUGAACCUACCCCCCACAGCACAAAAGCUCCUAAAACUGAUCCCUGAAUGUGACCAUGGCAUUAAGCUUUUUUGACCAAUUUAUAUCUCCAAAUUUUUUAGGAAUUCCGCUGAUUGCUAUGGCCAUUGCCCUCCCAUGGACCCUCUAUCCAACACCAUCAACUCGAUGAUUAAGCAACCGACUACUAACCCUUCAAAACUGAUCAAUCAACCGAUUUACUCAACAGCUUCUUCUGCCUUUAAAUCAAGAGGGGCACACAAAUGAGCCGCCCUAUUGGCCUCCUUAAUAAUUUUCCUGCUAUCACUAAAUAUACUAGGCCUCCUUCCAUACACCUUCACCCCCACCACACAACUAUCUCUCAACCUAGGUCUCGCAGUCCCCCUGUGACUCGCAACAGUAAUUAUUGGAAUGCGAAACCGACCAACCCACGCCCUAGGCCACCUUCUCCCAGAGGGAACCCCCUCCUGCUAAUUCCAAUCCUAAUUAUCAUCGAAACAAUCAGUCUCCUCAUCCGUCCAAUUGCUCUCGGAGUCCGACUAACAGCCAAUCUCACAGCAGGACACUUACUAAUUCAACUCAUCGCCACCGCUUCUUUUGUCCUCCUUCCACUAAUACCAACGGUGGCCGUCCUGACAACUGCCCUACUGUUUUUACUCACCCUCCUUGAAGUGGCCGUUGCUAUAAUUCAAGCUUAUGUCUUCGUCUUACUUCUGAGCCUCUACCUACAAGAAAACGUAUAAUGGCACAUCACUCACACCCCUACCAUAUAGUUGACCCCAGCCCAUGACCCCUAACAGGAGCUAUUGCCGCCUACUAAUAACGUCAGGACUCGCAGUCUGAUUCCACUUCCACUCCACCUCUUUGAUACUACUCGGGACAAUUUUACUUACCCUAACAGUAAUCCAAUGAUGACGAGACAUCGUACGAGAAGGAACAUUUCAAGGCCAUCACACCCCACCAGUCCAAAAAGGCCUCCGAUACGGAAUAAUCCUCUUCAUCACAUCAGAGGUACUAUUUUUCCUAGGCUUUUUCUGAGCAUUCUACCACUCAAGCCUGGCACCCACACCAGAACUAGGAGGCAACUGACCCCCUGCGGGCAUUACCCCCCUAGACCCCUUCGAAGUGCCCCUCCUUAAUACAGCUGUUCUACUUGCCUCAGGGGUCACAGUCACCUGAGCUCACCACGCAAUUAUAGAGGGCAAGCGAAAACAAGCCAUCCACGCCCUAGCCUUAACAAUCCUCCUUGGUGCUUACUUCACCUUCCUCCAAGCCAUGGAGUACAAUGAGGCACCAUUCACAAUUGCAGAUGGGGUCUACGGCUGCACCUUCUUCGUAGCCACUGGCUUCCACGGGCUCCACGUCCUUAUCGGCUCCACAUUUUUAGCUAUUUGCCUUGCUCGCCAAAUCUCACAUCACUUUACAUCAGAACAUCAUUUUGGAUUCGAAGCAGCCGCAUGGUACUGACAUUUUGUAGACGUUGUAUGACUUUUCCUAUACAUUUCAAUUUACUGAUGAGGAUCAUAA